GCAGUCGAACGGCAGCACGGGCUUCGGCCUGGGUGGCGAGUGGGCGAACGGGUGAGUAANGNAUCGGAACGUGCCCAUGUCGUGNGGGAUAACGUAGCGAAAGCUACGCUAAUACCGCAUACGCCCUGAGGGGGAAAGCGGGGGAUUCUUCGGAACCUCGCGCGAUUGGAGCGGCCGAUGUCGGAUUAGCUAGUAGGUGAGGUAAAGGCUCACCUAGGCGACGAUCCGUAGCGGGUCUGAGAGGAUGAUCCGCCACACUGGGACUGAGACACGGCCCAAACUCCUACGGGAGGCAGCAGUGGGGAAUUUUGGACAAUGGGGGCAACCCUGAUCCAGCCAUGCCGCGUGAGUGAAGAAGGCCUUCGGGUUGUAAAGCUCUUUCGGCCGGGAAGAAAUCGGCGACUCUAACAUAGUCGCUGGAUGACGGUACCGGACUAAGAAGCACCGGCUAACUACGUG
RNAcentral lists this ribosomal RNA (459 nucleotides) under uncultured bacterium. RNAcentral's name for it is "bacterial SSU rRNA". It matches the Rfam family "Bacterial small subunit ribosomal RNA", at positions 57 to 507 of the family's 1533-position model. The record is from RNAcentral.